CUACGGGCGGCUGCAGUGGGGAAUAUUGGACAAUGGGCGCAAGCUUGAUCCAGCAAUGCCGCGUGAGUGAAGACGGCCUUAGGGUUGUAAAACUCUUUCGCUAGGGAAGAUAAUGACUGUACCUAGUAAAGAAAUCCCGGCUAACUCCGUGCCAGCAGCCGCGGUAAUACGGAGGGGACUAGCGUUGUUCGGAAUUACUGGGCGUAAAGAGUUCGUAGGCGGACUGACAAGUUAGAGGUGAAAUCCCAGGGCUCAACCCUGGAACUGCCUUUAAAACUGUCAGUCUAGAGACCGGAAGAGGUUAGGGGAAUACCUAGUGUAGAGGUGAAAUUCGUAGAUAUUAGGUGGAACACCAGUGGCGAAGGCGCCUAACUGGUCCGGUACUGACGCUGAGGAACGAAAGCGUGGGGAGCAAACAGGAUUAGAUACCCGUGUAGUC
This 439-nucleotide ribosomal RNA is filed under the name uncultured bacterium. RNAcentral's name for it is "partial 16S ribosomal RNA". It matches the Rfam family "Bacterial small subunit ribosomal RNA", at positions 339 to 795 of the family's 1533-position model. The record is from RNAcentral.